Molecule: long non-coding RNA, 461 nt
Organism: Saccostrea cuccullata (small rock oyster)
Lineage: Eukaryota; Metazoa; Mollusca; Bivalvia; Ostreida; Ostreidae
Exons: 3
Source: RefSeq, a predicted model, not a curated record
AAAGAAAAUGAUGACGACUUUGCUGGGUUUUCCGCACUUUUCUUCUAAACGCUUGCAGAUAUUGAGCUGGGGAUCGUGAUGCACUAAAUUAAUGUCGUGAUGCACUACUGGAUCAAUCGGCAAUCCUCUGCUGACUCCGCUACGCUCCAUUCAAUUCAUUAUGUGUGAGGUACAAGUCAUCCGAGGAACUCCCAGUGCUACUGGAUUAAUGUAUCAUGAUUUGAAACUUGCUGGAUACCUAUAUAGUGACAAAUAUAGAUCAAGUUUGAUUUUUUCUGGUAUAAAAUUGUUGUUCAACCAUGUAAAAUAAGCUGUUUUGAUCAAAGCAUUUCUGUGCGUGUCGAAUGGCAUUCAAAGACGUCACGAGUCUUUCUUUGUAAGGCAGAUCCAAUAUAUUUCAUUCAUAUUCAAUUAUAUACAUUCAUGGUAUCUUUCCACCAUAUAAACAUACAGAGAGAAAA